Molecule: long non-coding RNA, 1267 nt
Filed under: Marmota monax (woodchuck)
Lineage: Eukaryota; Metazoa; Chordata; Mammalia; Rodentia; Sciuridae
Source: RNAcentral
GUCCUGUUCUGGAUCCCCAUCUGCUUAAGGUGUGCAUGUUCCCCACAGGCUCCCUGGUUCCUGUCUUUUUGGGACAAGUCUGAACCUGAAGUGCAAGGAGACACCUUCUGGACAGACAGAGCAAAGGAAUGUCUGAGAAGAGAAACUUUGGGGCAAGUGAGAACAGCUGGGGCUGAUCUGGUGGACUUAGACUCUCUUCGCUCCCCUCAUUGCAAGACACGAAGCUUCUGCUUGGGAUGUCACAGGCUGUGACAAUGAGCUCAGGGAAUAUCACACCAAAGUUAUCUAAGCAAGUUGAGGUUUCUUUCAUGCAGAGGCCCAGGGAGGAGGCAGACCCAGCUGGGCAGGGAGGCAGAGCUAGCACGAAUGAUGGGGUGACAGGACCUCUUUCUUAGGACAGAAGGCCAAAUAUUCUAUGCAGUUAAAGGAAUGAAUAUGGGUGUUUGUGGGCAUAUUUAAUGGGGGCAAUAAGGACAGAAAGGAUAUAGCGUAUUUUUUUUUAUAGUUCCUGGUACCAACAGGCUUAUUUCAUAUCAGAGCUAAGUGUUAAGAGUUGAUUAUUUGUCAUCGGGGGUCUUGGGAAAGAAAUGGGUCAGAGAUUUCAUCUUAAAAACACUGUGGGGGACCCAAUGGGAGGCAGCUGGGGCAGAAUGGGCUGGACCUUGUCAGCCCAUAAAAAGGAGGUCAUCACAGACCCAGGCAAGUGGCAAACUAAAAGCAGAUUUCUAGGGGACAAGGCCACCAUAUCUCAUGGGAUGCAGCGCUCUCUUAAGGAUCUGGGCUUUCAGGACCUAAGUCACCCCAGCAGGGAGACUGUCUUCUGGGUGGGCUCAAAGCACAGAAUGGGUAUGCAUUCCCGCAGGAGGCUCAGGGCCAAGAGCCAGCAGCCCUCUGAAGGGGAAGGGUGCUGGGCAGGAGGAGAUCCCCGGGGAGUCGAUGCAUGGAUCAAGCAGGAAGCCGUUUUCCUGGGACCGGAAAGGGAGGGACUUGGGGGAGAUAACGUGGAGACAGAGGAGAACUCGCGCUGCUCAUGGUCUCUGCUUCCCUCACUCCCUCCGUUCCCCACUCUCGGCUCACUUCUCCUCCUUUUCCUGUCUCAGCACAACUGGCUUCCCCGCUGUGGCCCACAGAUGCACAUUAUUAAUUGCAUCAUGGGGGAAGUAUUGGCAUGAUGGAAGUUUCCGGCGAGGACCUGGGAAUGCCAUUGCAGGGAGACUCACAGAGCCCCGUCCAAUAGAGGCUGAAAUCAAGGAAAUGUGAAAUGUCU